UGAAGAAACGCAAGGUAUGCCGAGGCCUGGGCCUGGAAGUGGAGCAUCGUGUCCACUGUGUUUUAUUGGUUAAAGCCAAGUCAUAAGCAUAAGAGGAGUCCAGAUUCAAGGAGGGGGAAAGGGAUUCCACUUUUGGAUGAAGAAGCUGAAGAGUCACUUUGGAAAGGAUAUUGGCACAGCGAGGAGUGGUUGUCUUUGCAAUGUCCCCGAUCAUAUAAUUUACAUCAUAAGCUAGGUCACUUUUGAAAAUGAAAGGGAAUGCUUUUAAGAAUGACAUCAAGACAAUGAAUAUAAACCAGAACUGCCCAUUCUUCCUGACUCCCAACCCAAGCCUCCUUUUACUUCCCCCGUGCUGCCUUAUGACACUAAGAAGAAGCCACUGAAACUGGCAGAGGACAGACCUCAAAUCUGAAUCCAAGCCAAAGACCAGCGUGAAUGAUAUCCCUGGUGUCCAGAGAAGAAACCAAGCCCAGAGAAAUGACUCCAUUUAGUUCUCUCAAUAAUCCCACGAAGUAAGUGCUAUUAUCAUAAGUACUUGGCAGUCAGAUCUUCAUUGGAGUACAGAUCUUCCUUGACAUUCGAUGGAAUUAUGUCCAGGACUGCCAGUGCUCAAAACUGUGUUGGUACUCCUCGUUUGAAGAUGGAUGAACACACUGAAUAACCAUCUUUUUGUCUUGUCUUUUUGCAAGAGAAACUUGAAGUGUGAGACUGUUUUCUUGGAUGGGCCAAAAAAGGUCUUCCUUUUUCACCUUCCCCUUCUCACCUACCACCUACCUUGGUUUCCAAGAAGACUGCUCUGGACAGUGACUCUCAUUUGGGUGUUUAAUUUCUGUGUGUCCUUGGGAAAAAGCGCCAGCCUUCCCCUUACUAGGUAAAGACGUCUUAUCUAGAAGCAGAGGGGUCAUAACCUUACCUGAUGUCCUGUUCAGUUGUCUUGUUCUCCUUCAAAUUGCCCUCCCCCCUUUCUUGGCCUGCUUUAGCUGUGUGUACCUGUGAGAGCAGAGCCCUUUCUUGCUGGUGAAGCCCUCACAGACCACUCUUUUUCCCUAACAUCUGCGCUUAAGGAUUUGGUUGGAACAAUUAGCUCCCAAAGGACUUCUGUCCUGAGUAGACUGUCUCCUUGUUUCCUGGGUGUUUGUCUUCUCCACAGCCGACAAGAAGAUUCUAAACUCUGUGAGGGCUGCUGUGUCUCCCUCAACCAUGUCUCUACACAGGUCACAGACUCAACACUUUCUUACUGAUUCUUUCAGUUGUAUUCUUAAUCAUAUGAAUUAAA
This 1276-nucleotide long non-coding RNA is filed under the name Equus asinus (donkey). RNAcentral's name for it is "lncRNA (ENSEASG00005026289.1)". Lineage: Eukaryota; Metazoa; Chordata; Mammalia; Perissodactyla; Equidae. The record is from RNAcentral.